GGAUUAGAAACCCGGGUAGUCUUAGCCAUAAACGAUGUUCACUAGGUGUUGGGGCGUAAGCCUCGGUGCCGCAGCUAACGCAUUAAGUGAACCGCCUGGGGACUACGGCCGCAAGGUUGAAACUCAAAGGAAUUGGCGGGGGCCCGCACAAGCGGUGGAGCAUGUGGCUUAAUUCGAGGCUACGCGCAAAACCUUAUCCCGGGCUUGACAUGCACGGAUUAGCCGGCGGAAACGUCGGUGAGGCCGCAAGGUACAACGUGCACAGGUGCUGCAUGGCUGUCGUCAGCUCGUGUCGUG
Molecule: ribosomal RNA, 297 nt
Filed under: uncultured bacterium
Lineage: Bacteria
Description: partial 16S ribosomal RNA
Rfam family: Bacterial small subunit ribosomal RNA
Source: RNAcentral